RNAcentral lists this ribosomal RNA (446 nucleotides) under uncultured bacterium. RNAcentral describes it as "partial 16S ribosomal RNA". It matches the Rfam family "Bacterial small subunit ribosomal RNA", at positions 338 to 795 of the family's 1533-position model. The record is from RNAcentral.
CCUACGGGGGGCAGCAGUCGAGAAUCACUCACAAUGGGGGAAACCCUGAUGGUGCGACGCCGCGUGGGGGAAUGAAGGUCUUCGGAUUGUAAACCCCUGUCAUGUGGGAGCAAAUUAAAAAGAUAGUACCACAAGAGGAAGAGACGGCUAACUCUGUGCCCGCAGCCGCGGUAAUACAGAGGUCUCAAGCGCUGUUCGGAAUCACUGGGCGGAAAGCGAGCGUAGGCGGUUUCGUAAGUCGUGUGUGAAAGGCGCGGGCUCAACCCGCGGAGGGCCGAUGAUACUGCGAGACUGGAGUAAUGGAGGGGGAACCGGAAUUCUCGGUGUAGCAGUGAAAUGCGUAGAUAUCGAGAGGAACACUCGUGGCGAAGGCGGGUUCCUGGACAUUAACUGACGCUGAGGCACGAAGGCCAGGGGAGCGAAAGGGAUUAGAUACCCUGGUAGUC